GUGAAGAUUUGGGCAGGCCAUACGGACGCCAAAAAGUGUCCCUGGCCGCCUACACCCACUAUACAUCCACAAACCCGUGUGCACUGUCUUGGAGAAAGGCUUCAGGGAAGUUUUUUGUGGCCUCUCUUGGGGUUUUUCUUCGCUACAAACUCGAAUGGUUAGUAUGAACGUGGAACUUGGUUGGACCGUCACUGGCCAACAAACUAUACA
This 210-nucleotide unclassified non-coding RNA is filed under the name uncultured Malassezia. Lineage: Eukaryota; Fungi; Basidiomycota; Malasseziomycetes; Malasseziales; Malasseziaceae. The record is from RNAcentral.